GGCUUAGUUGGUAAAGCACUCGUCUAGCAUACAAGCGUCGUAGGUUCGAAUCCCAC
This 56-nucleotide transfer RNA is filed under the name Aedes aegypti (yellow fever mosquito). It matches the Rfam family "tRNA", at positions 9 to 63 of the family's 71-position model. Rfam says of the family: Transfer RNA (tRNA) molecules are approximately 80 nucleotides in length. Their secondary structure includes four short double-helical elements and three loops (D, anti-codon, and T loops). Lineage: Eukaryota; Metazoa; Arthropoda; Insecta; Diptera; Culicidae. The record is from Rfam by way of RNAcentral.